Non-coding RNA from Hydra vulgaris (swiftwater hydra), 381 nucleotides. Lineage: Eukaryota; Metazoa; Cnidaria; Hydrozoa; Anthoathecata; Hydridae. The record is from RefSeq and is a predicted model, not a curated record.
AUUAUGGUAUGAGCGCCAACUGUAAUCUGAAACGACUGAGAAUAUGCCAUGUAAUCUGCUCCUUUUUAUAUAUCGUUUAUCAAGCAAUAAAAUUGAGUAAUCAAAUAGAGAAGGUUUGAAUAUUCUUUUUAUCUAUUUAAUAAUAAUAAAGUUAAUAGUAGUAGUGCCCUUUCGAGACUGUUUGAUACAGACCUCUUGGCAGACAUUGCAAUUGAGGUAAUGUGGAGAGGGAGUUGCAACAGCUUUUUUUUAUGAGAAACUGUAAACUAAAUAGUACCUUCAAACGAAGGUGUAUCUUUGAACAAAACUGUGUGUUUAGUGUGUAAUUUUAUUAUGUAUGUAAUAUAAAAUUUUGUAAUAAUAAACAUGUAAUAUCAUGUU